Varroa destructor (honeybee mite) is the source of this 1271-nucleotide long non-coding RNA. RefSeq lists it as uncharacterized. The record is from RefSeq and is a predicted model, not a curated record. Lineage: Eukaryota; Metazoa; Arthropoda; Arachnida; Mesostigmata; Varroidae.
UCGAUUGCAAGUUUGUUAAAUAGUGUUAGCUUGACAAAUACAUUUUCCAAGUAUUUCUUUGUUUGUAUAUCACUGAUGUUGAACACGCGAGUAUCUGCAUAGACGAUAUGUAUUACUACUAUGGUCAGCCACACGAGUCAUUCAAACGCAACACUCUUCUUCGUAAAAGUGAAAUCUUUGAGGCGUUAUAAAGCCUCUUCGUUCCUUGCCUGUUGUUGUAUCGUGGAGUGAAGCGCCUUUCUCUCACUCUGUGUGAGACUUAAGUUUCGCUGAAAGGACGUACUGGAAGUUUUCAGAAAGUUGCAUUCACUUAAUUGGAGUCUUUCGACUGUAAGCCGCCGAGCAACGACAUGUCAACCCUUUCUUUUCUUUCGACGGCCAUCAAGCACUGGUGCGAGAAUUAAGGUUAAAAAAUUUAUUCGAAUACUUACACGCGGCGGACCGAAGUUUUCAUACUAGAGAUUCUUUUUGUACGCCGUGUUUGUAUGACUUGCCAUGUGAGCGAGGUCGCACAGAGCCCCUUAGUUUUAGCCCCGUCGUCUUCUGUUUGCUCCGUCACGUGAUUUUAGCGUCGGAAAUAUGAAAAUCGCAGCCUAUCUGGUACAUUUGCAAAAGCUUAAUGCGAGCGGCUCUCAAAAGAGCCACUACAACAGGAAAUAUUGCCCUCGAAUGAAGGAAUUGCGUCUCCAAACUCACGGGAACAUGACAUGGCUGAACAGGAACAACCUGCUAGUGUCUGACGAUGAUGGGAGCAAAUCAACAGCUGCGGGCGGUCGCUCAUAAGGAACGUAACGUUUUAGUUAGAAGUGGAACAUCAAUAAUUGAUCAUCGGAGGCCGACGAAAUGACAAUACACGAUUUUAGAAGCCCUGGUGAAGCGGUGGACUGUCCAUGUUUAGGGUAUGAAAACGGAAUUUAAGUUAGCCAUAUUACCGUGUGGUCAUUAAAAAGCUAGUUAAGUUGGCCCCCUAGCAAAACGAAAGUAUAAUAUUUUUAAAUUUCUCAAACACGACGAAUUCUAAAAAAUUGUUGGACAAAUCUUCACGGCGAGAUUAGUAAGCUACUGUUCGAAAUGAAACUUUUCACGGGUUGCUUUAGGCAGCGUAAUUGCAUCGUUGGCUCUUGUUGUAGCAGUAGGAUCACCACUUAUCCAUUGAUGACAAUUUGGAUUGUUUAUGCUCCGAAUUUUAUUGAUUGAUUUAUAUCAUCGCUGCAAUGCCCCUCAGGCAUUAUCUACUGAAAAGAAUAAAUCUGAAGAUCUACGAGAUUGCU